GAUUAUUUUUGAAUGAAAAUACAGGUUCAUGAUAUAUUGAAAAGGCUGUCCAUGAUAAAAUGAAGCUAGGGGUAUUGUCUGGAGACAAGAUGAAAGGAAAUGACUGAGAACAUUGGGUACAUUAAGAAUGGCUUCUUCUGAAUUCUGUUUCCAAGGAACUUGUAUUGAAUAUAAACUAGUUUUAUUUUCCUUUUCCUUUUACAGCUAUGCUUUUGGUUUACUUUUAGAUAAGACAUUAAACAAAUAGUGAUCACUCUUCAUUCUGAGAUAUCCUGCCAUUGGAAAAACAUGGAAGUUAUUAUUAUGUUGGCAUGAGUGGUGUAGGAGGAAUUCACGUCUAAAUAUUCACUU
Molecule: long non-coding RNA, 351 nt
Filed under: Phaseolus vulgaris (common bean)
Lineage: Eukaryota; Viridiplantae; Streptophyta; Magnoliopsida; Fabales; Fabaceae
Description: long non-coding RNA (PVUL_LNC003238)
Source: RNAcentral